CCUACGGGAGGCAGCAGUGGGGAAUUUUGGACAAUGGGCGCAAGCCUGAUCCAGCAAUGCCGCGUGCAGGAUGAAGGCCUUCGGGUUGUAAACUGCUUUUGUUACGGAACGAAACGGUGAGCUCUAAUAAAGUUUGCUAAUGACGGUACCGUAAGAAUAAGCACCGGCUAACUACGUGCCAGCAGCCGCGGUAAUACGUAGGGUGCGAGCGUUAAUCGGAAUUACUGGGCGUAAAGCGUGCGCAGGCGGUUAGUAUAAGACAGAUGUGAAAUCCCCGGGCUCAACCUGGGACCUGCAUUUGUGACUGUAUAGCUAGAGUACGGUAGAGGGGGAUGGAAUUCCGCGUGUAGCAGUGAAAUGCGUAGAUAUGCGGAGGAACACCGAUGGCGAAGGCAAUCCCCUGGACCUGUACUGACGCUCAUGCACGAAAGCGUGGGGAGCAAACAGGAUUAGAUACCCUGGUAGUCCACGCCCUAAACGAUGUCAACUGGUUGUUGGGUCUUCACUGACUCAGUAACGAAGCUAACGCGUGAAGUUGACCGCCUGGGGAGUACGGCCGCAAGGUUGAAGCUUAAAUGAAUUGACGG
RNAcentral lists this ribosomal RNA (587 nucleotides) under uncultured bacterium. Its description in RNAcentral is "bacterial SSU rRNA". It matches the Rfam family "Bacterial small subunit ribosomal RNA", at positions 338 to 916 of the family's 1533-position model. The record is from RNAcentral.